Molecule: ribosomal RNA, 301 nt
Filed under: uncultured bacterium
Lineage: Bacteria
Description: partial 16S ribosomal RNA
Rfam family: Bacterial small subunit ribosomal RNA
Source: RNAcentral
CAGUAGCCGCGGGAAUACGUAGGGUGCGAGCGUUAAUCGGAAUUACUGGGCGUAAAGCGUGCGCAGGCGGUUGUGUAAUACAGGUGUGAAAUCCCCGGGCUUAACCUGGGAACUGCGCUUGUGACUGCACAGCUAGAGUAUGGCAGAGGGGGGUGGAAUUCCACGUAUAGCAGUGAAAUGCGUAGAGAUGUGGAGGAACACCGAUGGCGAAGGCAGCCCCCUGGGCCAAUACUGACGCUCAUGCACGAAAGCGUGGGGAGCAAACAGGAUUAGAUACCCCCGUAGUCCCUGUCUCUUAUAC